UUAAUACUCCCUCCGUACGGAAAUACUUGUCCUAAAGAUGAAUGUAUCUAGACUUAUUUUAGUUAUAGAUACAUCCAUUAUAUCCAUUUCUAGGACAAGUAUUUCCGGACGGAGGGAGUACUAU
Molecule: microRNA precursor, 124 nt
Filed under: Hordeum vulgare
Lineage: Eukaryota; Viridiplantae; Streptophyta; Magnoliopsida; Poales; Poaceae
Description: microRNA MIR1122
Rfam family: MIR1120/MIR1122 microRNA precursor family
Source: RNAcentral